CAGUGGUGGUGGGAUGGCGCAUGCUAAGGAAAAGAGAGGGUGUGAGGAGGGGGCAGAUGGGGGGUGUAGGGAGGGGGAGCAGAGGAGGUGAGAGGAGGGGAAGGGGUGCAGAGGGAGGGCUGUGGGCAGUCUACAGAAAGGAGCUGUACAUGUUUGGGGGCGAGUAGGAAGUCAGCUCUGGCUGCUGCUUCUGGAGAGCAUGGCUGAAACCGAGACCAGUACAGAGGCAAAGAGUGGUGCUCUUGGAACACCUAGAUCCAGCCAUGCCUGAAGGCCCAGUAGUGAGCUUUUUUUGGAGGUGCUAGGGCAAGGUGGUGGCAAGAAUUUCACUUGUCAAUUCAACCAGGCCUGCAGAAGCAGCCAGGCCCUGAUAACCAGCUCCUAGGAGGUUGGGGAAGGACCGAAGACUGCCCCAGUGUUACAGACCCCACCCUGGAAGGAGGCUGUCUAAGCGUUUCUCACUCCCACUCUCCUGGUCCUUCCCCUCCUCCCCUUCCCAGGGCAAGAAGCCAGGUACAGUCCCCAAGUCUGGCUGGGCCAAGGACCUCUCCCCCGCUGAGAGGAGGGGAGGGACUGCCCCUUGGGAGGGGGUCCUCUACCAACUGUGGGUGAGAGCCCACAGGGUUUUCUGGAAGAGAUGGGCCUGAGAAAGAAGGGAGUCAUGCAGGGAAUGAGGUGGGGGGGCGGUGGUGACAGCGCUAGACCCAGGCCCCUCAUUUGGGCACCUGCAGAAGGGGUGGGGUCCUUAGGCCUCGCCCCACCUCAUCUGCCCUCACUGGGUUCCUGGCAAGGUUGGCCUAGGGCCCCUGCUCCUGCAGCACGGAGUUGGGGCUCGCGUCCCUCCUCUGGAUGCAGCUUUUUCACCUACUGGGCCUCAGUUUGUUCGUCUCUAAAGUGAAGACAGUAGUAACACCCCCGCUCCCAACUCCAGGGUGGCUGAGAGGUUAACCAAGGCAGGUGUGAAGCCCACUUAUUCAGAGUGUGGUUUCCAUCUUCACUUCCCUGGGGAGGGGCGGAAACCUGGCUGGCGCCCUGGGUUUAGAGCCCAGAGGGCCCAUUACUAAGCUGAUUGCCCGAGAGGCAGCUGUGUGCCUGCCUCCCAGGUCUGUGGGAGUGGAGGACCUCUCCAUUCCCCUAGAACACCCCAGUGAAGCUACCAAAAUGUUAUUAAAAAGCAUGGGCAUGCAACUGUGUGUGAAAACACUGGUCAAGUCUGAGAAAGAAAUGGGAAGUUUUUGUGCCAAUCUACGGAUUAUAAUCUAGGAGGCAGCUUCUCAAAGGGCUCUGAGGAUGUCUCAGAGAUGAGCGGAGGGGCAGCAUAAGUGAUCUUUUAAAAAAUUAUCUAUUUUUGGUGGCACUGAGUUUUUGUUGAUGCCCGUGGGCUGGUCUUUUCUUUAGGGUGGCUUCUCAUCUCGGAGCAUGGGCUUUAGUAGUUGCGGCUCAAUGGCUUUAGAGCACAGGCUCAGUAUUUGUGGUCAAC
RNAcentral lists this long non-coding RNA (1480 nucleotides) under Capra hircus (goat). RNAcentral's name for it is "lncRNA (ENSCHIG00010004707.1)". Lineage: Eukaryota; Metazoa; Chordata; Mammalia; Artiodactyla; Bovidae. The record is from RNAcentral.